GGAAGUAAAAGUUGUAACAAGGUCUCCGUUGGUGAACCAGCGGAGGGAUCAUUACCGAGUUUACAACUCCCAAACCCAAUGUGAACCAUACCAAACUGUUGCCUCGGCGGGGUCACGCCCCGGGUGCGUCGCAGCCCCGGAACCAGGCGCCCGCCGGAGGGACCAACCAAACUCUUUCUGUAGUCCCCUCGCGGACGUUAUUUUUACAGCUCUGAGCAAAAAUUCAAAAUGAAUCAAAACUUUCAACAACGGAUCUCUUGGUUCUG
RNAcentral lists this unclassified non-coding RNA (266 nucleotides) under plant metagenome. RNAcentral describes it as "partial contains small subunit ribosomal RNA, internal transcribed spacer 1, and 5.8S ribosomal RNA". The stretch from base 1 to 54 matches the Rfam family "Eukaryotic small subunit ribosomal RNA", at positions 1778 to 1831 of the family's 1831-position model. The record is from RNAcentral.